RNAcentral lists this unclassified non-coding RNA (2739 nucleotides) under Hevea brasiliensis (rubber tree). The record is from RNAcentral. Lineage: Eukaryota; Viridiplantae; Streptophyta; Magnoliopsida; Malpighiales; Euphorbiaceae.
CAAGUUUGAUUUGAAGGCCUGAAGGUGAAUUUAUACAAGAGAUAACAUCAUCUCUUUUCAAAUAAAUUUUUUCCAUGCUCAACCAAUGUCUAAAGUCCAAACCAGUAAUAAAGUUUCUUUUGUGCUUUUGUUAUUAACAUCGGACUAGAAAUAGUUAGUAUUUCUGUUGUUUUUCCAAUUUAUUAAUUUAUUUAUUUUUGGGUUUCAAAUUUCUUAUUCAUUUCUUUUUUUUGAAGGAAUAACAAUAAUACAAGAAUAUUGUUCAGCAUAAAAAGCUUUUCCUACAUUUAAAUGAGGGCUAUUCUGUGUUUUGUUAAGUCUACAUGCACUUAAAACUUUGGAUAAGUUAAGGCUCUACUGUUUUGGUCAAGAUAUAGAGCUAGUGAAAAUUGCUUGUAUUUUAGAUGUCUCUAGCAUGCAUAUAGGACUUGCUCCAAGUUCCAUUUCUAUUUUGGCCUUAGCAAUGAGAUUACAAAGGCUGGCUUUGUCGGCGGGCAUGUGUGGGUUUACUCGAUUGAGGGGAAAAAAAAGGUGAAUGGACAACAUUGGGGAAAAAGGCUACAAUUUAGGUGCUAAAUUUAGACACAUUCCUUCUCUAUAUGAUGCUUCAUUCGAGCUUUUCCUUCUUGCAUGAAGAGGGUUAUUCACCUUUUGCAAACUAAAUGGUUAUGACUUUUGCUACCAAAUCAUGAUUCAGCUGUCUGUAACAUGUCCUCUGUUGAUUUUAUCUUCAUGUUCAAUGCUAAUGGAGCUCGAAGGUUAUUCGGGUUGAAGAAUGCAGGUUAGCUUGACUUAAUCAAUUACCAUAAUCAAUUUUGUAAUUUCGAGUUUAAAAAGAAAUCUUUUUGACAAGAAAAAUAGCAGCAACUUUCCUUGCUAAUUUUGCUGGAUGAUUUCUUGAUUUUAUUAAUUGAUGUAAAAGCAGAUAGUUAAAUUAUCUGUUAGGAAGUUAUAAGAUUAGUUAGUUUGUUGUACAGUAGUCAUGAGAGGAGUUAGUUUGUUAUUCAGUUUAGCUUUCUCGCCUCUAUUCUUCAUUCUGUAUAUAAGCAUUUGUACAAUCAGUUAUCAAUCAUAAUAAAGAUUCACUUCUUUCACACUUUUGCAAUAUGGUAUCAAAGCAAUUUUCUCUCAAAAACAAUUAUUCUCUCUUCAUCUUCUUGAUUUUCUUUCUUGUUCUCAAAGUUCUUUCUUCCUUACUUCUUGAAGUUCUUUCUCUUGAAAGUUUUCAAUGGCUGUUAAUUCCAGCCGUGAUCAUUUUCAGAAUCCUUCUAAUCCUUACUUUCUACAUCCUAAUGAAAAUCCAGCCCUGGUGCUGGUUUCUCUAGUUUUCACUGGAUCCAAUUAUCAUUCGUGGGCAAGGGCAAUGAAGAUGGCUUUGGCAUCCAAGAAAAAACUUCAAUUUGUUGAUGGCACAUUUACUACACCUCCUGCCAAACUGAUCCAAUGUAUUCUACUUGGGAGAGAUGCAAUGCGAUGAUGUUAUUUGGAUCUGUCACCUGCAAUUGCCCAAAGUAUUCUCUGGAUUGAUAGAUAUGUUGAUGUGUGGAAUGAUUUGAAGGAUAGGUUUUCUCAAGGGGAUGUGAUUUGUAUAUCAAAUCUGCAAGAAGAAAUUUACAGUUUUAAGCAAGGUGAGUUAUCAAUUACUAACUACUUUACUCAUCUCAAGAUUCUUUGGGAUGAGUUGCCGAAUUUUAGAUCGAUUCCCUCAUGUUCUUGUGCUACACCUUUUACUUGUGGUGCUAUUACUACUGUUCAGAAUUAUCAAAAGACUGAUUAUGUCAGAAGGUUUUUGAAAUGAUUGAAUGGCCAGUUCUCACAUGUAAAGUCCCAAAUUAUGAUGAUGGAGCCACUACCUUCCAUUAACAAAGUUUUCUAUUUAGUAAUUCAACAGGAAAGGCAAAUGCCAUCUGUUAGUAAUUUGGAAUCAUGAGUGUUUGUCUGUCAGUAAGGCUGUUAAGUAGGAAAAUAGUGGUUAUGGGAAUUGUGGCUCCCAUAGAAGAGAGAAUGACAAUGUCAACAGUAACUUUGGGAAUUCUAGUUCUUUUGGUGGAGGUCAAUAUAGCUCAAAUGCUAGCACAGGACAAUCAAAUGGUCCUAUUAAAUUCUGUACCUAUUGUGCAAGCAGAGAUAUACCAUUGAUACUUGUUAUAGGAAGCAUGGCUUUUCUCCAGGAUUUAAGUUUAAAAACUUAAAUCCUUCUGCUAAUGUUGUGUAUACUGAGAUUAUUUCACCUGCACCUACUAAUGUUGACUCAACAUUGUUGAGUAUACUGAGAUCAUUUCACCUCAGAGCUAUAUCAGAAGCUACUAUCCUUGAUUUAGGAUCAUUCUUUGACAGCACAACUUGUUCAUUCCACCAACCAAAUUACUACUCAACCAUCCACAUCCAAUAUUCAAGACCACAACCUUAUUUCCAACCAAUCAUCAGGUAACCAUUUUACUUUCCUCACCAAAUCCUCUACUGAUAUUUGGAUCUUAGACACAGGAGCUACUGACCACAUUUGUUUUUCAUUGUCAGCUUUUGCCACUUAAAGAAAAAUUAAACCUAUUUCUAUCAAAUUACCCAUUGUUGACCACGUUUUUGCUUUCAUUUCUAGCACUAUUCAUUUUACUAAUAACUUAUAUUUGGUAGAUGUCCUUUAUGUUCCAGCCUUUACAUUCAACUUAAUUUCUGUAAUCAAACUCACAUCUCUGCUACAUUGUUAUCUAAUUUUUCAAAACUCUUAUUGUUUCAUUCAGA